UACGGAGGGGGCGAGCGUUAUUCGGAAUUAUUGGGCGUAAAGGGCGCGUAGGCGGCUUCGUAAGUCAAAGGUGAAAUCCCUCGGCUCAACUGAGGAACUGCCUUUGAAACUGUGAGGCUUGAGGCCGGGAGGGGGUAGCGGAAUUCCCAGUGUAGCGGUGAAAUGCGUAGAUAUCGGGAGGAACACCUGUGGCGAAAGCGGCUCACUGGACCACAACUGACGCUGAGGCGCGAAAGCUAGGGGAGCAAACAGG
This 253-nucleotide ribosomal RNA is filed under the name uncultured bacterium. RNAcentral describes it as "partial 16S ribosomal RNA". It matches the Rfam family "Bacterial small subunit ribosomal RNA", at positions 524 to 776 of the family's 1533-position model. The record is from RNAcentral.